GAACGCACAUUGCGCCCCUUGGUAUUCCGAGGGGCAUGCCUAUUCGAGCGUCAUUAUCACCCCUCAAGCCUAGCUUGGUGUUGAGACCUGCUGUCAAGGCAGUCUCUAAAAUCAGUGGCAGUGCUGUCAGGCUCUAAGCGUAGUAAAUUCAUCGCUAUAGACACCUGGUGGCCACUCGCCAGAACCCCCCCAUUUUUUAAUGAUUGACCUCGGAUUAGGUAGGGAUACCCGCUGAACUUA
Molecule: unclassified non-coding RNA, 240 nt
Filed under: uncultured Ascomycota
Lineage: Eukaryota; Fungi; Ascomycota
Description: sequence contains 5.8S rRNA gene
Rfam family: 5.8S ribosomal RNA (bases 1-53)
Source: RNAcentral